This is a non-coding RNA of Trichonephila clavipes, 73 nucleotides long. The record is from the annotation of a GenBank genome assembly. Lineage: Eukaryota; Metazoa; Arthropoda; Arachnida; Araneae; Nephilidae.
GUACCUAUGGUGUAAUGAUUAUCAUGUCCGCCUAACACGCGAUUGGUCCUAGGCUCUAAUCCCGGUAGGUACA